This is a long non-coding RNA of Etheostoma spectabile (orangethroat darter), 194 nucleotides long. RefSeq lists it as uncharacterized. Lineage: Eukaryota; Metazoa; Chordata; Actinopteri; Perciformes; Percidae. The record is from RefSeq and is a predicted model, not a curated record. The transcript is spliced from 2 exons.
UGGGGGGGGAAAAAAUUGAUCUCAUGUUCCUUUGAUGUUGUGAGUUCUAAUGUAGUUAGCACAGGUGUGUAUUAAGUGUUUUGUCUUAAUAUUUUCUGUGUGUGUGUGUGUGUGGAAACAGGCAGUAAAAGGGUUGUGGCAGUCUCCGCCUCAAUUAAUUACAACCCCUAAUUAUUUUUUUGUUAUAGUUCUGG